CCCUGGGGGCAGCAGUGAGGAAUAUUUGUCAAUGGGCGUAAGCCUGAACCAGCCAAGUCGCGUGAGGGAUGAAGGUUCUAUGGAUCGUAAACCUCUUUUAUAAGGGAAUAAAGGGUGGGACGUGUCUUAUUUUGUAUGUACCUUAUGAAUAAGGAUCGGCUAACUCCGUGCCAGCAGCCGCGGUAAUACGGAGGAUCCGAGCUUUAUCCGGAUUUAUUGGGUUUAAAGGGUGCGUGGGCGGCCUUUUAAGUCAGCGGUGAAAGUCGGUGGCUCAACCAUAGAAUUGCCGUUGAAACUGGGGGGCUUGAGUAUGUUUGAGGCAGGCGGAAUGCGUGGUGUAGCGGUGAAAUGCUUAGAUAUCACGCAGAACCCCGAUUGCGAAGGCAGCCUGCCAAGCCAUGACUGACGCUGAUGCACGAAAGCGUGGGGAUCAAACAGGAUUAGAUACCCUUGUAGUC
RNAcentral lists this ribosomal RNA (458 nucleotides) under uncultured bacterium. RNAcentral describes it as "partial 16S ribosomal RNA". It matches the Rfam family "Bacterial small subunit ribosomal RNA", at positions 337 to 795 of the family's 1533-position model. The record is from RNAcentral.